GAACAUUGUGCUGCAUUUUUCGCAGUCGUUCCUGGUUAGGUCUUAAAAUGUAUAUAUUCUCACUUGGAUUCCAAACCCUAACAUUCUAAUAUUAAUUCUACCAAGUGAAGUGCAAGAAUCUAAGUCAUGAAGUCCACCUUAUCACAUUCCGCACACCAGAUUACCUAUAUAUUCAUGAACUUAAGGUUACAGCUUAACAGCUGACCUUUGUAGCAC
Non-coding RNA from Paramuricea clavata, 216 nucleotides. Lineage: Eukaryota; Metazoa; Cnidaria; Anthozoa; Malacalcyonacea; Plexauridae. The record is from the annotation of a GenBank genome assembly.